Molecule: unclassified non-coding RNA, 297 nt
Filed under: fungal sp.
Lineage: Eukaryota; Fungi
Description: partial internal transcribed spacer region
Rfam family: Eukaryotic small subunit ribosomal RNA (bases 1-46)
Source: RNAcentral
AAGUCGUAACAAGGUCUCCGUUGGUGAACCAGCGGAGGGAUCAUUAACGAGUUAUGAACUCCUUAAAACCCACUGUGAACCUACUAUUUUGUUGCCUCGGCAGGCUGUGCUUCUACCCUGUAGCUGUUACCCUGUAGCUACCCUGUAGGGCUUACCCUAUAGCUACCCUGUAACAGCUACCUGGAAAGCACGUUGACCGGCCUGCCGGUGGUCUUAAACACUCUGGUUAUUUAUUAUGGUACUCUGAUUUUACUUGAUAAUAAGUUAAAACUUUCAACAACGGAUCUCUUGGUUCUG